This is a non-coding RNA of Aedes aegypti (yellow fever mosquito), 46 nucleotides long. The record is from Rfam. NCBI's taxonomy places the organism in Eukaryota, Metazoa, Arthropoda, Insecta, Diptera, Culicidae.
CAAACGGCCCUUUUCAGGGCCACCAAACACACUCAUCAAGGAGUUG